Coregonus clupeaformis (lake whitefish) is the source of this 194-nucleotide long non-coding RNA. RefSeq lists it as uncharacterized. The transcript is spliced from 3 exons. The record is from RefSeq and is a predicted model, not a curated record. Lineage: Eukaryota; Metazoa; Chordata; Actinopteri; Salmoniformes; Salmonidae.
AUCACUCUUUCACCAGAAAGCUUGUUCAGUUCUACAAGAGAAAAUACCUUUAUUUCUGAUAUGAAGAUACAAAUAUUGAGAAGUCUCCUCUAUCUGACAAUGGUUUAUCUUCUAAAUGUGUUACCUGCUGUCACUUCCCAGAUCAGGCUGGUCAAUGGUAAUGGUCGCUGCUCAGGAAGAGUGGAAAUCUAUUA